RNAcentral lists this ribosomal RNA (360 nucleotides) under Triticum aestivum (bread wheat). Its description in RNAcentral is "partial small subunit ribosomal RNA". Lineage: Eukaryota; Viridiplantae; Streptophyta; Magnoliopsida; Poales; Poaceae. The record is from RNAcentral.
AUGAUCCGCUCGGGCAAAUAUUUCAUGGGCCUCGCUUGGUGCUGUUGGGUCCAUGCAUGGCUGCACAACUCUUCAAAUAAACGUAAUAUGCAAGGCCUGGCUCAGGCUGUAGGGCAAGUCGCCAGCCAAACCAUGUCCCCUCCUCUCCUGCUCGUCGCCUCUCUCCUCUCUCUCAAAAGGUUGCGACAGUUCGAGUCACUCUGUACUCGCAGUUCGAGUCACUCUGUACUCGCAGCAGUGGAAAGCACCGGUGAUUCUUUGAGCUCGGGCGCAGUUCCUCCUAGUGGAAAAGGCGGCAAUCGACAACGCCUCCUCUCAACCAUUCGUGCCCACUUGUUAGGCGAGGAAUUCUGGGAUUGA